Molecule: long non-coding RNA, 563 nt
Filed under: Homo sapiens (human)
Lineage: Eukaryota; Metazoa; Chordata; Mammalia; Primates; Hominidae
Description: HSALNT0274351
Source: RNAcentral
GCCGGGGGCGUCACUCCAGCAGGUAGAGGCCAAACAGAAGCUCCGCUUGGGCAGCCCUGGUCGGCCUCUCUUAUGAGACCCACACGGCUGCACGCUCUCCUGACUGCAGCUUUGGGCUGGAUCAGUAGCCCCAGGGCCCCCAGGCCACUUCUGAAGAGGGCGAGAAGCUCCCCGCCAGGCACCCUGAGGCACGGACUUGAAAAAAUGCAUUGAUUCAAGAUGGAAUAAACCGAGUAGGUUUCAGAACAGCCACCCUUGGCCUGGACAGUGCAAGAGCUGCAGAGUGUCACCUCACAGGGCCAGCGGCGACCCAAGACACGGGUGCCUGGAAAGGGGGCUCUCUGCGGGGACAGGGCUCAGAAAGGCUGGACCUGUCCUGAACCACAGAAACAGGGUUCCCUGAACCUCGGCCAUCGUCUACCAUUACGGCGCCCUGUCCAGAUAUAAAGUCAGAAAAUCUCAGAUGCACAAACAUUUUGAAGUAAAAGAUAGUUUCUAAACCAUUACUCAAACCAAUAAAACGUGAAGUGAAAUGAAAUGUGUAAUGUGAAUGAAAAUGCUCC